AAGUCGUAACAAGGUUUCCGUAGGUGAACCUGCGGAAGGAUCAUUAAUGAAUAUUAGGGAAUUGAUGCUGGCAUUAUGUUGCAUGUGCUCAUUCCCUCUAAUCCAUUUUUUACACACCUGUGCACUUGUUUCAGAGCUGCUUUUCUAGGGAGAGAGUAAUCUCUCUCUCUGUGUUAAAGCUCUCUGCUAAUCAAUAUACACUCUUAUAUUUUACAAUGAAUGUUAAUCAAGUCGAAAGACUUUUAAAUUUAUGAAUACAA
RNAcentral lists this unclassified non-coding RNA (260 nucleotides) under plant metagenome. RNAcentral's name for it is "partial contains small subunit ribosomal RNA and internal transcribed spacer 1". The stretch from base 1 to 46 matches the Rfam family "Eukaryotic small subunit ribosomal RNA", at positions 1786 to 1831 of the family's 1831-position model. The record is from RNAcentral.